AUGGACGAGAUCGUCAAGGGCAUCGGCUUCUGCCAGGUGAAGCAGAUCUUCGCGCCAUACUCGCCGCACUGUUCCCGAACUCUUCCCGGGCGUCGCGGCCGGGGACUGCCGGGACAAGGACAGGGCGGCCGAGCAGCGGUGCCGGGGCGAGACGGACCAGUACGGCAACCACCGCUCCCCAAGGAUCGUGUCGCUGAAGCACCACUGGUGGUGGAUGAUGAACACCGUGUGGGAUGGGAUAGAGGAGACCAAGGACUUCCAUGGACACAUUCUCUUCAUCGAGGAGGACCAGUACAUCUUCCCCAACGCGCAGUUGCUUGUGGAUUUGAAGCCAAAGAAGUGUCUCCAAUGCUAUGCUAUGCUAUGCUGUCCAUUUGGCGCCGUGUGAUGUCAAGGCGAAAGGGGAAGGUUGGGAGAGCAUGGUUGCUGAGAAGAUGGGUAACAUUGGCUAUGCUUCAACAGGACUGUGUGGAGGAAGAUUCAUGGCAAGGAUGA
This 495-nucleotide ribosomal RNA is filed under the name Triticum aestivum (bread wheat). RNAcentral describes it as "partial small subunit ribosomal RNA". The record is from RNAcentral. Lineage: Eukaryota; Viridiplantae; Streptophyta; Magnoliopsida; Poales; Poaceae.